GGGGGGGGGGGGCUUCAUACUAAAAGAAACGAAAUUAGCAUUAGCUUUUUGUGAUAAAUAUAUAAUAAACUCACAGUAACAGAAAUAGCUCUUGAAAGUUCUGUCAGAUCCCGGCAUUUUUAACUGUUUUUGACGCGUGCUAAAAAAUGCAGCACCUGGUUACAGGGGCUCAUUUGACAAAUUAUCAUCUUUCGUAAUUUAAGUUAUAAAAUCUAAAAUUAAAGUGAUCUAAAAUGUUCAUGACUAACGAGUAUUUUCACUUGUACGCUGUGAAAUGAGUCUAAGAGUAUAUACAUGUAUAUCGGGAUACUGACUGCAUAGUAAAAUAUUUAUAUACCUAUUAGUUGCGGCUCAUUUUGGUCUUUUAAGUAAGUGUCCUUCCCCUGCAUUACUUGAUCGCUUUUGUAAAAAAUAAACAGCACAACAACAGCACUCGACAUCAGUAUAAUUUGUACCAAAAAAUGAAGAAAAUAUUCAAAAAGAAGGCUCAUAAAAUUCAAAUAUUGGUGAUCAGACAUCUUGGUUUUCAUGAUCAAUAGGUCUAUACUGAAGAGGACACUGAAAGUUGAUAUCUAUCUACAUGGUGCGCUAAUUGGAUUAAUGUGAAAUGGAAUGUGUGCUUGCCUGCAAAAAAGAAAUAGGAAAUUUCAUCAUAAUCACAUGAUAAUGGCUAUAAACAAAAUGGAGUUCUAUCAUAGAUGCAGAAAUUCACAAUUGUAUACAUGUAAAUGCAACAACAUAUUAUAUAUAUUUGUCGAAAGAAAGGAGAAAUGAAGAAAAAAAUAGUAUUUUGUUGUUGAAAGGAACACAAGCUUUAUCCACUCAUUACAUCAUUACCUCAUAUCAAAUAUACUGAAGAAGAUCUUCGAAGAACAAAUUGCAAAAAUGUUUUCUCUAAGAAUUGAAGGAAAUUGUUUAAUGAAUGGAAUAAUUUAUGCAUUGAACUUUUACGUAGUGGAUUGAAUAACUGUACACACAUGACACAGCAGCUGAAACAGAGGAAAAUUAAAAUUUACAGGAAAAGUGUUUAUUUUAUUAUUUAAUUUGCAAAUAUGAACGCAUUCUUAAGAACACCACAAAUGGUAUGACAUUCAAAUUGGUUGCUUAUUAAUGUAUACAAUUGAAACAAUAACAAAGAAAACAGAAUACUUUGCUACAAAAAAUAUUUUAUAAAUCAAAGUUAAAGUCAUAUAAAGUAUGUACAAUACCUUGACCUAAACAGUCAGACUCACUGUAUUGUUUUUGUAUGUCAUGAUAAUUUUGAGGCAAAAAUUUAUUAAAGUUUUAAAUAUCA
Molecule: long non-coding RNA, 1294 nt
Organism: Mytilus californianus (California mussel)
Lineage: Eukaryota; Metazoa; Mollusca; Bivalvia; Mytilida; Mytilidae
Exons: 2
Source: RefSeq, a predicted model, not a curated record